Molecule: long non-coding RNA, 487 nt
Organism: Phacochoerus africanus (Common warthog)
Lineage: Eukaryota; Metazoa; Chordata; Mammalia; Artiodactyla; Suidae
Exons: 3
Source: RefSeq, a predicted model, not a curated record
CCCCGCCCGACGAGCGCAGCUCCUCCUCUUCCUCCUCGUCUGUGCUGGAAGACAGCGGGGUCAGAGCUGCUGAGGCGGGGGAGGCCGAGCGGAGCAGCACCAACACGUCCUCUUCCUCCUUCAACUCCAAGGUCUCGGACUUGACGAACAUCCUGGAGGAGAGAGCGGUGAAGGAGAAAGAACCGAACGAAGUGUAAAUACAGAAGCAGAGGCAAGUUCUUGGUGUCACCGGGACGUCCUGUUGCGCGCUUCGGAGAAGACCGGCUCCGAACAGCGCCAAGGAGUAACGGUUCAUUUUGGUCAUCUCCUACACUGGCAAAUUCAGAGCAGUUCCGACCUGAACCACCCCAAGGACAGAAUGAUGAUCUCCUUUUCAGCGCCCUGAAAAGCAUCUACUGUGGACACCUGCACAGCUUUCACAUUAUCAGGAUGGUCAAAGUCCAGUGUAGUGAGUAAGUGACAAAGCUGCGGAGGAAAGAGGACAAGG